GGGAGAGGGAGGGCGACUGACGGUAGGGCCUCCGAGCCCAGCUGAGGAAGGUCCCUCCUCCAUGAGAAAGGUGGACCGCGAAAGUGGUUUGGCGAGAGCCAAGGCAAGGGCACAGAAACGGCACAGCCCCGGGGUAGCAUGAAUCGCUUGGCGAGGACGUUCCCCGAGGAUCUGGUGAAACGGCGACCCCCCACCGGAGCAAGCCCAAACAGCCGGAAUGACAGCUCAGGACCGGCGGGUAGGGCGCGCAGUUGAAUGUUGCCUGAAACAGAAGGGGGCCUACUACCCUCACCC
RNAcentral lists this RNase P RNA (294 nucleotides) under Methanomassiliicoccales archaeon. RNAcentral describes it as "RNase P RNA component". It matches the Rfam family "Archaeal RNase P". From Rfam's summary of the family: Ribonuclease P (RNase P) is a ubiquitous endoribonuclease, found in archaea, bacteria and eukarya as well as chloroplasts and mitochondria. Its best characterised activity is the generation of mature 5'-ends of tRNAs by cleaving the 5'-leader elements of precursor-tRNAs. Lineage: Archaea; Methanobacteriati; Thermoplasmatota; Thermoplasmata; Methanomassiliicoccales. The record is from RNAcentral.